Molecule: unclassified non-coding RNA, 337 nt
Filed under: Hevea brasiliensis (rubber tree)
Lineage: Eukaryota; Viridiplantae; Streptophyta; Magnoliopsida; Malpighiales; Euphorbiaceae
Source: RNAcentral
CUCUCUCUCUCUCUCUCUUCCUAUUUUCUGGGUUUGAAAACUUCAGCUCUCCCUAAAUUUUAAUAUGAAAGAAGAACCUUAAAAUUGUUGAAAGGAAAGCACUAGAACAGAAGAAAAAAAGAUCAAAUUUUCUUCUCUUGUACCACUUUACAAGGACAGACGCACAAACCCAAAAAAAUAAAGUAGAAUCACGAAUCCAUCCCCUGAGCAGGGAAAAUAAUAAAUAUAAUAAACAUAGCAGGACAUACCCAGAAAGGAACAAACUUUAAUAUUAUACACUAAAUAAAAGAGCAAGAAACCAACUUUUUCUUACCAGAAGAAAUGGAUCCAAGAACCA